CCCUUAGAUGUCCUGGGCCGCACGCGCGCUACACUGAGUGUCUGAGAUACGAGUCUGCCUGGUCCGGCAAGGUCUAGGUAAUCGCUAAAAGACACAUCAUGCUUGGGAUAGAUUAUUGCAAAUAUUAAUCUUGAACGAGGAAUUCCUAGUAAGCGCAAGUCAACAGCUUGCGUUGAUUACGUCCCUGCCCUUUGUACACACCGCCCGUCGCUACUACUGAUUGGAUGUUUAAGCGAGGCUCUCGAACUGCUAGCGACUUAGCUUCGGUGAGGUCGCAGUGUGGGAAGUGAACCUAGCUUUGGUGUCUAGAGGAAGUAAAAGUCGUAACA
Molecule: ribosomal RNA, 329 nt
Filed under: uncultured eukaryote
Lineage: Eukaryota
Description: partial 18S ribosomal RNA
Rfam family: Eukaryotic small subunit ribosomal RNA
Source: RNAcentral